UGAACGCUGGCGGUAUGCCUAACACAUGCAAGUCGUACGGGAGUUUUUAACUCAAGUGGCGGACGGGUGAGUAACACGUAAGAAUUUACCUUUAGGAGGGGGAUAACAUCGUAUACUUGUAUACUACGGAAACGGUUGCUAAUACCCCAUAUGCUUUUAAGUGAAAUGAUAUUUUAAUGUUAGUUUCAUAUAACAUUUGGUUUUUUAAUAUUAAAAAAAUAUUGCCUAAAGAGAAGCUUGCGGCUGAUUAGCUUGUUGGUAAGGUAAUGGCUUACCAAGGCGACGAUCAGUAUCUGGUUUGAGAGGAUGAUCAGACACACUGGAACUGAGACACGGUCCAGACUCCUACGGGAGGCAGCAGUGGGGAAUUUUCCGCAAUGGGCGAAAGCCUGACGGAGCAAUACCGCGUGAGGGAUGACUGCCUAUGGGUUGUAAACCUCUUUUUUCAGGGAGGAAGAAAUGACGUGUACCUGAAGAAUAAGCAUCGGCUAACUCC
Molecule: ribosomal RNA, 496 nt
Filed under: uncultured bacterium
Lineage: Bacteria
Description: bacterial SSU rRNA
Rfam family: Bacterial small subunit ribosomal RNA
Source: RNAcentral